UACGUAGGGACCAAGCGUUGUCCGGAAUCAUUGGGCGUAAAGCGCGCGUAGGUGGCCAUUUAAGUCCGCUGUGAAAGUCAGAGGCUCAACCUUUGAAAGCCGGUGGAUACUGGAUGGCUAGAGUACGGAAGAGGCGAGUGGAAUUCCUGGUGUAGCGGUGGAAUGCGCAGAUAUCAGGAGGAACACCGGUGGCGAAGGCGGCGUUCUGGACUGCAACUGACACUGAGGAACGAAAGCCAGGGGAGCAAACGGG
RNAcentral lists this ribosomal RNA (253 nucleotides) under uncultured bacterium. RNAcentral's name for it is "partial 16S ribosomal RNA". It matches the Rfam family "Bacterial small subunit ribosomal RNA", at positions 524 to 776 of the family's 1533-position model. The record is from RNAcentral.